This 329-nucleotide ribosomal RNA is filed under the name uncultured eukaryote. Its description in RNAcentral is "partial 18S ribosomal RNA". It matches the Rfam family "Eukaryotic small subunit ribosomal RNA", at positions 1470 to 1796 of the family's 1831-position model. The record is from RNAcentral.
CCCUUAGAUGUUCUGGGCCGCACGCGCGCUACACUGAUGCAUUCAACGAGUCUAAAACCUGCUCUGAUAGGGGUGGGUAAUCUUUUGAAUGUGCAUCGUGAUUGGGAUAGAUGAUUGCACUUUUUCAUCUUCAACGAGGAAUGCCUAGUAAACGCAAGUCAUCAGCUUGCAUUGAUUACGUCCCUGCCCUUUGUACACACCGCCCGUCGCUCCUACCGAUUGAAUGAUCCGAUGAAUAUCAUGGAUUGAGGAUGCAAGUAGGUUAGCCUAUCUUCAUCUUCGAGAAGUGAAGUAAAUCUUAUCAUUUAGAGGAAGGAGAAGUCGUAACA